This is a long non-coding RNA of Carassius gibelio (silver crucian carp), 5036 nucleotides long. RefSeq lists it as uncharacterized. The transcript is spliced from 3 exons. NCBI's taxonomy places the organism in Eukaryota, Metazoa, Chordata, Actinopteri, Cypriniformes, Cyprinidae. The record is from RefSeq and is a predicted model, not a curated record.
AAACAUAAAUGUGAGAAGACACAAAAUUAACAUUUAUUUCAGUAUGCAAACAUACACAGUUUAAUAAAAAAUAAAUAUAUGCAUAAAUAAGCGGGUGUUUUCAGUUCUUUCUCAACAAAAACUGAGCAGGAAUCUCCUGCAGAGGAUUGAUUUAAAGUAGAGUGAAGAAAGUGUUGAGAGCAUCCAAAAAUUAAGAAAUACUUCACAAGUGAUAAACGCUGAAUGGUAGCCAAUCACUGUAAUGCAUUUGUUUGUUUUGAUUUAUUAGAGGCAGGACUAUUAGCUUUGUUUUUUUUUUUUUUUUUUUUUUUAGAUUCUUCCAAGCCAGCAAUUAUGUUGUGUUGGUGUUGCAAUGAAGUGUUUUAAGAAGAGGGACAUUCUCUUUCUGUGUGGCCCAGACCUGUUCUUCUUCCUGCUGGAGUGACUCAAAUAGACUUGUUGCUUGUGCUUCACACAUCGAUUUCUCCAUCUGCCGACUGCUGAAGACCAUCUUACCAAGUCUUUGCUGCCUUUCAUGUUCCUUAAUCCUGGGCUAUGUUAGCAUAAUGCUACUGCACUGUUUAGUCUUCAUAGCUGCUCUGGAGGUCUUUGUGAAAAGAUAUAUUCCCUCAGUUCCACCAUAUUUUUGGUGUAAUUAUUUAUUUAUUUUUCAACUGCUGUUUUAUAUAACACUGAAUGUGUAAGUUUAACAAAAUAAACCAAUAAUAAUAAUAAAUAGAGUUUAUAUACUACCUGUUUAUUUACUGUAUUCGGAUACAUGUAGAACUGAAACUGGUGCUUAGGAAAUGUAUUUUGCUACAAUGAAAUAAAAAGAUUCUUUGUGUUAUCUUAUAUAUUCAAAUGUAUAUCAAGGAGCAAGAUAAUAAAUGUAUUUUUACAAUGUUUUUGACAAUGGAGAGAAAUCAAAAACAUAAGCUAAUUUAUGUUUAAAUCAGUUUUAUGUUUAAAAAUGAAUGAAAUAUAAACGAACAUUGACAAGUUGGCGGUCAUCAAGAUUUUCUUUUUUUUUUUAAGAAAUUAAUACUUGUAUUCAGCAAGGAUGCACUAAAUUCAAGUGACAGUAAAUAAUUUUUUACUUUUAUAAUAAAGUUUACUUGAGCACCAAAUCAGCGCCCAAAUUAUUUCUGAAGGAUCAUGUGAAGGGUCUUGUGUGAAGACUGGAGUAAGGGCUGCUGAAAAAUCAGCUUUGCCAUCAUAGUAAUAGAAGUUAUAUUAUAAAAUAUAAAACAGAGACAUUUAUUUUAAAUUACAAUAACAUUUCACAAUAUGACUGUUUUUAUUGUAUUUUUAAUCAAAUAAAUACAACACUGGUGAGAAUAAGUGACAUCUUCAGAAGCAUUAGAAAAUCAGUCUUAAACUUUUGAAAGGUAGUAUAAAUAUUUUAUUUCAUUUUUCAUUUAUUUAUUUGGCAUGUGGGGGAAGACAUGGAAUGUAGUGCCUGAGUACUAUGGAUGCUUUGGUGUUUACCUUUAAAUGGAAUUCCAUUUAAAAGUCAGAAUGAAACUACGAACGCUCUCUUGUCACACUUGAUUGACAAGGCCUACCCAGAUGAGUGUGUCAGCGCAUCCAAGAGGUCAGUGUUUAAUUGCAUUAUUUUAAAGCUUCCGCCACCCACUACUACUAAAGAGACACAAUGAGCACCCUGUCAUGUCUGCUACUCCAACACACACUCAUUUAAAUUGCAUUAGUGUUCAUCGAAAAUAAGCACCCUAUCUAUUGACUAAUGUCCAUUGUCUCUUGACUUGGUUCAGACUCACAUGAUGCUUCUCAGUGGUUGAGUGAGCAGGAACAGUCUUUUCUCCCAGAAAAGCUUUUUAAUUACGCCAAGCCGUGUUGGCAUCCAUGCAUCCUGAACUACCCAUCCCAAUGUCUUCGUCCUUCAGAAUGUCCCAAUAAUGACCCGUGUGGUAUGUCUUUCUUCCUUUCUUUCUCAUUUUAGCUCCACGGUGGCUUUUUGUUUUGUCCUUUCGAAUAGCCUGUGCCAAGCUUUUGCUCAUUAGAGAGUUUGGUGGAGUGUGGCAGGGUCCAUUCAAGCCCUCCAGCUGCAGAGUCUUUCACCUAUUCCCUGAAAGAAUUUAAGGUUGCUCUGCUGGUCGGUCUGUUUAUCUGGCAGACACUGGAGGGACAAACAGAGACCUCUUCCCAUUCCCCCCACGCCUCCAGUCCCAGUUGCACCUGUUCGCUGUGCUAGAGUCCAAGCAAAAAGCCAACUCAUUAGAGCCGGAGGCCAUUGUGGGGCAUCUUUUAGGAGGAGGUGAAGUGGAAAGGUCCAGACCGCUGUGGGCAGCAGGAACCUGAACCUCCAUUCUGCGUUUGCACAGAGGAACAGGCAUGACCCAGAGCCAGAACAGUUAUUAACCACUGCCGCAACCUGUGCUAAUUGCUGUGUUAUUUACUGCACCGUUGCUCCUGCACUUUUGCACAAUGAUCUUUUAUGCGGUGAAAUUGUGGCUUUGUGAGUGAUUGACUGAAGCAGCUGUGAAUGGAGGCCAGAUUUGUUUCCAUUUUGACUGUUGCAGGGCUAUUUUGAACAUGUGCGUGGUUUACUAAAGAUCCAGUGGGAUUCAAUUGUGUAUAUUAAUUGUCAUUGUAUAGAUGACCCGGGGAAUGUUGGAACAAACUGGAUUAAGCCUCGCUGCUUUUGCUAUGCUGUAGCUAAACAGGUCACGCUUCAUGUGUGGCAUCGUGGCUACGCUGUGUGUCAUUCUGGUUCGCUUUUUCCCAUUCCCUGACCCCCUGAACUCCCUUCAGGGACAGAGCCCCGAGCAAACUUACCCUCUUUGGUCGGCAAUGGCCAGGUGGCUCCUGACAAGCGCUGACAAAAACAGGAAGCAUACCUCUGGACACGGCGAGCCCCAGUGGGGCUGUCUGAUUGGCCGCUGACUCAGCUACUGCUGCCCAGGAAGUCCUGACCCAGGAAGUGUCCAGGGACUUGGGCAAGAUGGCUGAAUAAAUAAUGUGUGUGGAAGCAAUGUUAGAAAGAAUGAAUCAACAGGUCUAGUCGAUACUCCGAAUGGUGGGAGAUAUUCUGUAUCUGGUCUUAGUUUAUAACAGGAACCAUACCUAACCAUAUCUGCCAUAGACGCUACUGGUUUUAUCAUGAUGUUACAUAAAAAAAACAUUAUGAAAUAUAGUAUAUAUAUAUAUAUAUAUAUUUAAAUAAAUUAUUAUUAUUUUCCAGCAACCGUGCAUUAAAUAAGUCAUUUAUAAUAUGACAAAAGAGUUUGUGUUUCAAAUAGAAAUGCUGUUCUUUUGAACUUUUCAUUCAUCAAGGAACCCUGGAAAUAAUGUAUCAUGGAUUAAUAAUAAGAAAUGUUUCUUGGUCAGCAAAGUUGCAUAUUAGAAUGAUUUGUGAUCUAUAAGGUAUAGCUAUACAGUAUUUACAGUAUUUAUAUAAUAUAUACACACAAACACAUGCACAGUACAGCAGCAUAUUAUAACUGACUAUUGUUUUUCAGUAGGCUAUAUCAAUCUGUUUUUCACAAAUUAAAAUGUGCCAAGUCUUAUACACACACACACGCACACACACAGUAUACAGCAGUAUAUUUAAACUGACUACUGACUUCUGUUUCUCACUAAUUAAUAUGUGCCACAUCUGUUCACACGGAAAAGAAAUGUUUCUCUUUAAAUGCUGCACUUGAUGCCAUUAAAAAAAGUUUUAUGUCUGUAUGUAGUUUUUUUUUUUUUUUUUUUAUGGUGAUUUGAAUGUGUUGCUAGAGCCUCUUAGAAAGAGAACCACUGCCUCCUGUGGAGUUAGUGUGUGUGUUUUCCUUUUCUUUCUGCCUGUUUGUGUGUAUGUUGCGUUCAGAACUGUGGAUUUGUUUCUAAGUUUGGCAGAUGAGAUGGCUACAGAGGGAAAGCACUUGUGGUGUGAGGUGGUGAAGGCCGAGGGUUGAGCGCUGAUGACCCACUCUUCUCUGAGGGUGGGAAAGCACAGUUCAGAAGGGCAAAGAUUUUCCCUGUGAAAACAUUAUCAGCCAUCUCGCCUGUUCCGUUGACUCGCGGGGAGCAGCAGUGGUCAAAGGUGUGGUUAACGGCUUAGCUCGUCAUCCCAAGCGCUUGGUCACACACUCCUCAAUGUGGCAUUGCCUGAAGGGCACUGAUAACACGCAUUCUGCACUUCUAUUGGUUGAUGUCCAGAAAACCAGCAAUCUCACACGGAAGAAUCUGUACAUUAGAGGAAAGGAAACGGGAGUUUAUUGAUCAACCAAAAAUGAAAACAAACUUUGACGGCAGAAGUAAAUUCAUGUCAGCGGUCAGUGAAGGGUUCCUCUGUGUCUCUUACAGACUGUAGCUCGCAGUAGACAUGGCUUCACAGCACAGAUGAGAUGAGGUGGGAUGUGGAGCUGGAUCUAGCACAGGAUCUAGUGAACCUCACGUUGGGUAUCCUGCACAGUAACAGUCUAUGUGUGGAGUGACAGAGAUUAUCAUUUAAAGCUUUCUGUAAUCAAUUUCUUUUUAUAGAAUUUAGAAUCCUGAGAUGCAAGCUCAUCACAGCCUUCUUUAACUUGAGUGUGUCAUCCACUUCUAGGUAUUUCUGCUGUACUAAAACAUUCUGUAAUCAUGCACACACUGAUUUGUAUUGUAUUGUAUUUAUUGUAUAUUGCAUUUUAUUUUUCUAGAUUUCAAUCAACCAAGGGCUCUGUAACAGUUAGUUUAAAACUGAAUGUGUGGAAUUGUGUUUUAAGAUCAAGACAGAUUUUUUCAAAUUUUCAAAUUUGAAAUUUGUAUUAAAUUUUUUUUUCUCAUUUUAAUGAUCAAUUCAAUUACCAUUUUAAAAACCUUCACAGUUGUUGCUCUCAGAACGAAAAACUACAAUAGUGCACAAAGCAUAUCUCUUACACCCUCCCUGCCCUGUAACCAUGGCAAUGAUCACAGUUUGCCUUAUUCAAGUCUGUCAUUGCAAUUUGACAAGUACAUGUCAUUGUUCCUUGCCGUAUUCUUGUGAAUUUCAAACCCUCUGAUUUCAUUUUCUUCCAAACUGUUCAUGAGCAGCGGAGAUAUACUAGUCAAUAAAUCUUUGCUGUUAAUUUUGA